Lactuca sativa (garden lettuce) is the source of this 1216-nucleotide long non-coding RNA. RefSeq lists it as uncharacterized. The record is from RefSeq and is a predicted model, not a curated record. NCBI's taxonomy places the organism in Eukaryota, Viridiplantae, Streptophyta, Magnoliopsida, Asterales, Asteraceae.
ACGAUCGUACUCCUCUUUUGACGACUGUUUCAUGCUCGGCGUAAGAAAGAUGAUAUCGACUCACACGGGAGAAAGCGCGAGAGUGAUUGAAAGAACCAGAAAGAGACGGGUGUGUGGUGUUUCCGACGACUUACUGCUGCAAACCGAUCACUACCUUGUGCCGCAACUGUAUGUCGUCACAACACGGAAUGUUGCUGCCCAAACUAGUCUACUUUAUCCUUGAAAUAUCAACACAUGUGGUAUCGAAUUGUUGCUGCCAUUGGUCCUAUUCUAAACAUCCCCAAUUAUGAGUUAAUAGUUCAUGCAUAUCUAAACCCUAUGGUGCCUCAGUAUUGCUGUUGCAACAUCCAUAUUUUGACUUUGAAAAAGAAAAACGAUGCAUACAUGUUGGCGGUGAUAUACUAGUUAAUUAAUCUUAAUUGUAAAAAAUAGGAAAAAGAAACAGUAAGAGUAAACCUAUGGGAGUGUUUACGAUUUAUUCUUCUGUAUGUUAUCAUAACAUGAAGCUUAAUGGACAUAAAAUUACUGAUGGCUUUAUGCCUUUAUAAUUGUUUUGGAAUAAAAUAUACGUAAAACAAAUACAUCACAUUGUCCAUAACAUUUAAAUAGUUUGAAAGCCAAUAAACAAAUUAAAUAAUAGAUAUGAUAUUGUCUUAAUAGUAUAAUUCAAUCCUUUUGUGUGUAAAAUUGGAUGACUAUAAUCAUUUACCUAAAGUCUCGAAUCAUAUGGUGAUUUUUGGUGAAUAUUGGAAUUUUGCACAGCAACUUUUCCCCAUCUGUUAAUUCGGGCAGAAUUGGAAGACGCUCCUCUCUCAUGAAGUUCUAGGAAAUCAAAUCUAGUUUCCAGAAUGUCUGAUGUCACCCCAAUUGGAGCUGUAGAUUAGGUUUUAUAACUAAAACACUGAGCGGGGUCGGGCAGGGAAGAUAUAAAAAUUAAUAUAAAAGUUAGAAUAAAGUUGUAUUUUUGAAACAUAUACUUUAUUUGUUAAUUGAAUGUUAUGUGUGGUGUUUAGGUGGAUCCUUGAGAACUUCAAGUAAGUUCAAGACUUGGAAUGGAAGGAAGAUUUCAUCAAGGCUAAAGGUAUUUUAGAAGAUUGGCCUUGGUGAGAGGGGUUCUUAUGGGUAGUAGAUUUAUAUUAACGAUACCACUCUUGGACACGUUUUUGGUUAUUUACUUUAAAGUAAUACUGUUUACAUUUUAAAUGGUUUGGAAUUA